This is a long non-coding RNA of Rosa rugosa (rugosa rose), 1125 nucleotides long. RefSeq lists it as uncharacterized. The record is from RefSeq and is a predicted model, not a curated record. Lineage: Eukaryota; Viridiplantae; Streptophyta; Magnoliopsida; Rosales; Rosaceae. The transcript has 3 exons.
CAUAUAUGUUUGUCUUGGUCCUAGAUUUAGCCAAGUCUAAUCAUUAAGAGAGGAAGACUUUAGGUUGGGAUGCACACAUACAUGAUAGUUUAUAGGCUGUAUGCUUAUUCUUCUGUACAUUUGGAAAUGAAGUUCAGAAUGUGGCAUAGGAAUGGAGGUGUGAACAAGUGGUGAUAUCUAUAGCUAUGGAAUCCUGCUAUUUGAGAUGCUCACAGGCAAGAGACUGACAGAUGACAUGUUUAAAGUGGCCUGAACUUGCAUAACUUUGUCAAAAAAGGCUUUGGCCUCCUUUUCUUGUUGGAUGGCAAUCAGAGCUGAGUCUUCUAGCCGUCCCGCUAGCUUUUGAGCAAGCACUUGGAGCCCAUUAUUGAAGAUGAGCUGUUGAACGAGCACAUGGGCACUGUUGAAGAGUUUCUUUUAUUCACAGGUUAAGGAGGGGGAGAGUGAGAGCAAGAGUACUAAUGUUUUUGGUAGGCUGCCUAGCAGUGCUGCUGGUUGGACGACAACUACAAGGGAAAGGAAUGGCACAAUUUGUUCCCCCACCAAUGAUGGCAUUCUAGCCCCAAGGAAUUGAAAGUCGCUUGGUCUCAAGAUUAUGUCGGUGUUUCAUGAAAAGCACAAAUGGUUAAAAAUUUCUUCUGAUAUUAUGGAUAAUAUUUAAAUUUUGGUUUCUCAUAUUUUGAAUUGAAUUGAUGUUUUGCAUCUGGGGUUGUAAUGGCCAUUUGAAGGGUUGAUUCUGGCACUUUUAUAUGACAACACUUCUAAUGAUGCUAAUCGUUGACCCCUUUGGGCUUUUAGUGAUGCCAAUUUAGUUUAUGGUGUUUUACCAUAAUUCUCUGUAGCAAUAAUGCUUCCCAAUUUAGUGUAUGUUAUGUUUCACUGGAUAAGUAGGCAUUGCAUUAUGGUUAUUUCUUGAUACAUGUCCUGCCCAUGCUAAGCUCGGCUCAAAGAACACUAGUUUAAACCAUGUAUGGUGCAGCAGGAUUAGAUAGGAGGAACACAAACAACAUUGCUCUUUGACUUUAGGUAUUUUUCCCAUUCUUCUGGAUAUAUUGUCACAAUAUGCGGACAUUGUCUCCUAAACCUAUGGCAGAAAUCAUCUCAGGUGCUGAAUUUGAAUUUGAA